This 172-nucleotide ribosomal RNA is filed under the name uncultured bacterium. Its description in RNAcentral is "partial 16S ribosomal RNA". It matches the Rfam family "Bacterial small subunit ribosomal RNA", at positions 335 to 524 of the family's 1533-position model. The record is from RNAcentral.
ACUCCUACGGGAGGCAGCAGUGGGGAAUAUUGGACAAUGGGGGCAACCCUGAUCCAGCAAUGCCGCGUGAGUGAUGAAGGCCUUAGGGUUGUAAAGCUCUUUUACCCGGGAUGAUAAUGACAGUACCGGGAGAAUAAGCCCCGGCUAACUCCGUGCCAGCAGCCGCGGUAAU